This is a long non-coding RNA of Vidua macroura (Pin-tailed whydah), 449 nucleotides long. RefSeq lists it as uncharacterized. The record is from RefSeq and is a predicted model, not a curated record. The transcript is spliced from 4 exons. Lineage: Eukaryota; Metazoa; Chordata; Aves; Passeriformes; Viduidae.
UCAAGAUGAGACUAUUGGUGGAAAAGCUCAGAGAACAUGAUGGGAGCUAUAAGAGAAACAUGGAUCCUCUCUCCUGCAUAGUGGAGGCAUAAAGCUGCUUGGAAAAGAAUUUUAAUUAAAGGGGACUAGAACAGAGAGGAAUAAAAGGGUCUCAUGUCCAAGCUUCCAGAUCCAAGGAGAAACUCCCUCUACACCACAUGGAGGUACUUGCUGUUCUGGAGAGCUGUGGAACAAUUAAUGGUCUUGAAUUGAGAUCUGAGAACUUCAAGGCAAGUUCCUGUCUAUACUGACUGUCCUAAGCAAGGCAGCAAGGCACGUCAGCUGGACCUGGCCAGUGCAGCCGGCAGGUGCGCCAGCAAGGGGAGGAUGGUCAGGAACAGGGCCCAUCACCCACUCCGCAGGGAAGGGGUGGCUCCGUGCAGGAUGCAUGGCUUUCUGUACAGGUUGUA